RNAcentral lists this non-coding RNA (29 nucleotides) under Cricetulus griseus (Chinese hamster). Lineage: Eukaryota; Metazoa; Chordata; Mammalia; Rodentia; Cricetidae. The record is from RNAcentral.
GAUAGAACUGGCACAGCUAUUAAAUCUGG